CCUACGGGUGGCAGCAGUGAGGAAUAUUGGUCAAUGGGCGGAAGCCUGAACCAGCCACGCCGCGUGAGGGAAGAAGGUACAGCGUACCGUAAACCUCUUUUGCAGGGGAAAAAAGGCGGGGACUAGUCCCCGACUCAGGGUCCCUGAAGGAAACGCCUCCGUGAACCCCGUGACAGACGCCGCGGUUAUCCGGAGGGUGCGCGGGUUAUCGGGAUUUAUGGGGGUUAAAGGGGGGGCGGGGGGCCUGUUCAGUCAGCGGGAAAAGCCCGGGGCUAAACCCCGGCGCGCCGUGGAAACUGGCGAGCUGGAGUUGGAGAGAAGUACGCGGAAUGCGCGGUGUAGCGGUGAAAUGCGUAGAUAUCAGGCGGAACCCCGGUUGCGAAGGCAGCUUACCGGCUCCACACUGACGCUGAGGCACGAAAGCGUGGGGAGCGAACAGGAUUAGAUACCCGAGUAGUC
This 459-nucleotide ribosomal RNA is filed under the name uncultured bacterium. Its description in RNAcentral is "partial 16S ribosomal RNA". It matches the Rfam family "Bacterial small subunit ribosomal RNA", at positions 338 to 795 of the family's 1533-position model. The record is from RNAcentral.